This 922-nucleotide long non-coding RNA is filed under the name Apteryx rowi (Okarito brown kiwi). RNAcentral describes it as "lncRNA (ENSARWG00000013544.1)". The record is from RNAcentral. Lineage: Eukaryota; Metazoa; Chordata; Aves; Apterygiformes; Apterygidae.
GCAGCUCUUUUCUGCUUUCAUCUUUCCUCUCCCCACCACGCUCCCUUCCACUUCUGGGAUUUGUCUCUCUGUGGCACAGCUCAGCAGCAUCUGUGAAGUGGAAAUGAGCAUGCAGUAUCACAGAUCAAAAUGAGGCUCUUGGUAUGCGCAGGAAGUUACUUCCCUCCCAAACCCCCCUUCUCUCCGCUCCCCMCCCCGCCCGCCCGAAAUCCUGGAGUGCUGCCAAAGACCUGGUGAAUCAGACAGAAGGGAAAAAAGGGAGAGAGAGAGAGCCUCCAUACAGCAGAGGCUUUGUGGGGAUGUUGGUAUUUCUGUGGUUUAACAUAACUCCUGCCAAAGCAGUCUCAGUAGUAACAGCAAACAUGAGGGUGCUGGUGUGGGCAGAGCUCAGGUACCAGAUUUUAAACGAGCUGGCAGAAUGCAGCUCAGAAGUGGGGAAGAGAGGGAGAUCCUCCAUGGAUGGGAGCAGAAAGGUAGAAGACAGCCUUUGGUAAGCCCUGGGGUUAAGCCGCACUGGGAGCCUCAAGCGCUAGGGGUGGCCGCCUUCUACUCCCCAGGCUGUGGCGGGCUGACACCUGCUGUGACCUCCUCACCCCGCUCCCUUGGCCUGGCUCCUGGGUUCAGAUAUCCCGCCUUUGCCUAGCUGUGACUCCCACUGAUGUGGGUCACAGUUUUCCUUUAGGGACUAGAGUGAUGGCACCACUGUGGGUAUUGCAUCAUGAGGAUGACUCACUGCUCCCCAGCUUUGUGUGCAUAAUAAGCAAGAUCUGGGCUUCUCACUGUUCCCAUCUCCAGUCACCUUCAUUUUUGUGAGCCCAGAGAAAGCAGACAUGUGAGGGACGGCCACCCUUGAGAGAAUCCUGGUGAUGCGUGUUUGCCAGGCUUCUCUUCCACUGGGGUAGCAGUGGACACUAAAAUAAAG